GUAAUGGCAGGUCAGCAUACUGCCGUGAAUACGUUCCCGGGCCUUGUACACACCGCCCGUCACACCGUGAGAGUUGGGAAUACCCGAAGCCUGUGAGCUAACAUUAAGAGGCAGCAGUCGAAGGUAGAAUCAAUGAUUGGGGUGAAGUCGUAACAAGGUAGC
Molecule: ribosomal RNA, 162 nt
Filed under: uncultured bacterium
Lineage: Bacteria
Description: partial 16S ribosomal RNA
Rfam family: Bacterial small subunit ribosomal RNA
Source: RNAcentral